Molecule: long non-coding RNA, 839 nt
Organism: Esox lucius (northern pike)
Lineage: Eukaryota; Metazoa; Chordata; Actinopteri; Esociformes; Esocidae
Exons: 3
Source: RefSeq, a predicted model, not a curated record
UUGGCAUCGGGUCUUCAUUCCCCCAAUGACUUCGUUGCCAGCCUUCUCAUAAGGACUCACUUCAUGUUCAAAGAUUACAGUGAUGGUCUGAAAUCUUCUUGUACCAGACACAUAUCUGGUUGCCUUCUGUUCCAUCAUUUAGAAUUAACACCAACACAGAGGUUGCUCUUCAGCCAGUCACAGAAGAGGUGGUGGUCCCAUCCACCAAUUGGGUGACAGAUGAGAAGGAAGUGUUGGAACACAAUGGGACAGAACGAUCCGUGAGUCCACCGGGAAGAGACGAAGAAGGUUUUCCAGAAUUGGCUGUUUGUCAUUUGGAAGAAGAGGAGGAAGAGGAGGACAUGUUGAAGAGAAUGAAGAACAGGAGAUAAUAGAGAAUGGAAAAGAAGUACGGCAAGCCUACUCAACAGACUCAUGUUGGCUCACAGAAGAUGUGUAGAUGGAACAAAGCCUCAAAAAAUUUGACAUUUCACACAGACAGGGGUCCUUUGUGAUCAUCUGUCAAUGUUUUUUCAGAUUUCCCUGGAUAGAGAGAUGUAUUAGAGCUCUCUGACUACCAAGCAGAUCCGUUUCUAACAUCCUCAACCCCCCACACACCCCAAUUAGCUGCAUCUCAGUAACUGUAAUUCUGCUCUGGACUAGAGCCCAUGAUUGAAGUUAAUCAAGUUGAUCAUCUCCUAACAAGGUCUGGGUAGAUUAGAUGGUAAGUGAACAAUCAGGACAAGAGUAACUAUAAUUGAAAAUGUUCGAACCUGACCAUUAGCUUUUCUUGCAGAGGACGAAUCAGAGAUCUCCUUUCAACCAGGUGACAUCAUACAUGCCGUGGAGACGGUGGACAA